This 100-nucleotide ribosomal RNA is filed under the name Acanthosepion pharaonis. The record is from RNAcentral. Lineage: Eukaryota; Metazoa; Mollusca; Cephalopoda; Sepiida; Sepiidae.
CGUUGAAACACCGUUUCCUGUUCGAUCACCGAAGUUAAGCAACGUCGAGCCUGGUCAUUACCUACAUGGGUGACAGCUUGGGAAUACCAGGUGCUGUAAG